This 119-nucleotide ribosomal RNA is filed under the name Castor canadensis (American beaver). Lineage: Eukaryota; Metazoa; Chordata; Mammalia; Rodentia; Castoridae. The record is from RNAcentral.
GUCUCCGGCCAUACCACCCUGAACGUGCCUGAUCUCAUCUGAUCUCAGAAGUUAAGCAGGGUCGGGCAUGGUUAGUACCUGAAUGGGAGACCACCUGGGAAUAUUGGGUGCUGUAGGCU